CUAGAGCACCCACACUUCAUGGAGGUGACCCUCGCCUCCCCACAAGGCCUCUACCUGCGAGGUUAGUUAGUAAGCUGCAACUGGUGCCUGAUCAGUAGUUUAUUGUAGGAUGAUGACUUACCAUGAAUGAUUGCAAUUUUUUCAGAUGUGAUUGGCCGGCUGGACGCCCUGAGAGGGAAGGGCAUGGUGGCCAAGUAUUCCUGGUCCUGCAAGAGGAGCUACAAGACUGGAUUCGUGUGGCACGAUCUGUCUGUGGAUGAUCUGCUGCUGCUCACGCAAGGAACAGAGUACGUUCUCAAGGGCUCCGAGUUCCCAUUCGACUAGUCAAAGCCUCUGCCAAUGCCAGAUCAUCAGCAGAAUAAUGCAGUAUGUGCAAAGGUUCAGCCCUGCAAGCCGGCUCGACAACAAGAGUCGCCUCGUUCUCCUGGAUCAUCAAACCAAGGGUGGACUUCCAAGUCUCCGUCUCCUACUCCUACAACUUACCCUACAGUUCCAGUCAUCAAAGAGGAAGUACCGCCGCCACCACCACCAACAGCUCGUGCUGCUGUUGUUCCAGCCAUCAAAGAGCACGCGGUGCCACCGCGACUUCCCCAGCUGAUCUCGCCGUCAACACCAUCUGCCUCCACCAUUGGAGAAUGAAGGACACAAACUUUUGAAUUAGACCAAUUGUUUGAUCGAUCAUUUUUGUUCUCUUGAAAACGAUGUAUGGUCAAUUUUAGUAUUCUGAUGUGAUUGAAGAAUAUAGGAGGGACAAAGAGAUGUGCUAUUGCUAGGACAGUUAUGACUCUCCAUUCAGGUAUUCAGGUAUGAUUCUCCAUGGUCGUGCUUGUCCUGUUCACCUGGAAGUUUAUUGAU
This is a long non-coding RNA of Triticum dicoccoides, 855 nucleotides long. RefSeq lists it as uncharacterized. The record is from RefSeq and is a predicted model, not a curated record. Lineage: Eukaryota; Viridiplantae; Streptophyta; Magnoliopsida; Poales; Poaceae. The transcript has 3 exons.